AUUGAACGCUGGCGGCAGGCCUAACACAUGCAAGUCGAGCGGAUGAAGGGAGCUUGCUCCUGGAUUCAGCGGCGGACGGGUGAGUAAUGCCUAGGAAUCUGCCUGGUAGUGGGGGAUAACGUCCGGAAACGGGCGCUAAUACCGCAUACGUCCUGAGGGAGAAAGUGGGGGAUCUUCGGACCUCACGCUAUCAGAUGAGCCUAGGUCGGAUUAGCUAGUUGGUGGGGUAAAGGCCUACCAAGGCGACGAUCCGUAACUGGUCUGAGAGGAUGAUCAGUCACACUGGAACUGAGACACGGUCCAGACUCCUACAGGGAGCAGCAGUGGGGAAUAUUGGACAAUGGGCGAAAGCCUGAUCCAGCCAUGCCGCGUGUGUGAAGAAGGUCUUCGGAUUGUAAAGCACUUUAAGUUGGGAGGAAGGGCAGUAAGUUAAUACCUUGCUGUUUUGACGUUACCAACAGAAUAAGCACCGGCUAACUUCGUG
RNAcentral lists this ribosomal RNA (484 nucleotides) under uncultured bacterium. Its description in RNAcentral is "partial 16S ribosomal RNA". It matches the Rfam family "Bacterial small subunit ribosomal RNA", at positions 30 to 507 of the family's 1533-position model. The record is from RNAcentral.